GAGUCGGGAACAACGGCGCCUCGGAGCAGCAUCCCUGCAACCACGAUCCUGAUGGGUGUUGGGAAGAGAAAAUGUGCUUUUCCGAAAAAACCUAAAAAUCGUGGCUCUUGUUAUUCUGUUCCCUGUAGUGGAUCAACUGAAGCUCAGUUGGGAACUCCCAGGCAUAGUGCCCCUGCUUCCUCUACCUGCCAGAAGGAAGGCUGGAACUUGGGCCUCGCUUGUACAAAUGGCGAGUGCUGCCUGCUGUGUGGCUGCCCUCAGGACGGGCUUUGGUGAGGGCAGCACAGCCCUGGAGGAGCCUGGUCUGACAUGGGGCCCGUCUGGGAUCACUGUUGGGCCUUCAACCGUCUGGAGCCUCUAUGUCUUCCUCUGAUAGAUUCCCAGAACAAUCA
This 392-nucleotide long non-coding RNA is filed under the name Homo sapiens (human). Its description in RNAcentral is "HSALNT0384263". The record is from RNAcentral. Lineage: Eukaryota; Metazoa; Chordata; Mammalia; Primates; Hominidae.